GACGAACGCUGGCGGCGUGCUUAACACAUGCAAGUCGAGCGGUAAGGCCCUUUCGGGGGUACACGAGCGGCGAACGGGUGAGUAACACGUGGGUGACCUGCCCUUACGCUCUGGGGAUAAGCCUGGGAAACUGGGCCUAAUACCGGAUAUGACUCCAUAACGCAUGUUAGUGGGGUGGAAAGCCUUGUGCGGCUAGGGAUGGGCCCGCGGCCUAUCAGCUUGUUGGUGGGGUGAUGG
RNAcentral lists this ribosomal RNA (237 nucleotides) under uncultured bacterium. RNAcentral describes it as "partial 16S ribosomal RNA". It matches the Rfam family "Bacterial small subunit ribosomal RNA", at positions 28 to 263 of the family's 1533-position model. The record is from RNAcentral.